Molecule: unclassified non-coding RNA, 88 nt
Filed under: Pseudomonas brassicacearum
Lineage: Bacteria; Pseudomonadati; Pseudomonadota; Gammaproteobacteria; Pseudomonadales; Pseudomonadaceae
Source: RNAcentral
UGUGGGAGCGAGCUUGCUCGCGAUGAGGGUGUGUCAGGCACCUAUUUUUAUCUGACACACCGCCAUCGCGAGCAAGCUCGCUCCCACA